Molecule: ribosomal RNA, 506 nt
Filed under: uncultured bacterium
Lineage: Bacteria
Description: bacterial SSU rRNA
Rfam family: Bacterial small subunit ribosomal RNA
Source: RNAcentral
AGGGUUCGAUUCUGGCUCAGGAUGAACGCUGGCGGCGUGCCUAACACAUGCAAGUCGAACGGUGAUGAUUGAUAUUUCGGAUGGAUUUCAUCAUAGUGGCGGACGGGUGAGUAACGCGUGGAUAACCUGCCUCGUACUGGGGAAUAGCAGCUGGAAACGGCUGGUAAUACCGCAUAAGCGCACGAUGCCGCAUGGCAAUGUGUGAAAAGAUUUAUCGGUACGAGAUGGAUCCGCGUCUGAUUAGCCAGUUGGCGGGGUAACGGCCCACCAAGUCUACGAUCGGUAGCCGGACUGAGAGGUUGAACGGCCACAUUGGAACUGAGAUACGGUCCAGACUCCUACGGGAGGCAGCAGUGGGGAAUAUUGGGCAAUGGACGAAAGUCUGAACCCCCAGCGACGCCGCGUGAGGGAAGAAGGUCUUCGGAUUGUAAACCUUAGUCAACAGGGACGAAGCAAGUGACGGUACCUGUGGAGGAAGCCACGGCUAACUACGUGCCAGCAGCCGC